RNAcentral lists this ribosomal RNA (427 nucleotides) under uncultured bacterium. RNAcentral describes it as "partial 16S ribosomal RNA". It matches the Rfam family "Bacterial small subunit ribosomal RNA", at positions 355 to 774 of the family's 1533-position model. The record is from RNAcentral.
UGGGGAAUAUUGCACAAUGGGCGCAAGCCUGAUGCAGCCAUGCCGCGUGUAUGAAGAAGGCCUUCGGGUUGUAAAGUACUUUCAGCGGGGAGGAAGGUGUUGUGGUUAAUAACCACAGCAAUUGACGUUACCCGCAGAAGAAGCACCGGCUAACUCCGUGCCAGCAGCCGCGGGAAUACGGAGGGUGCAAGCGUUAAUCGGAAUUAAUGGGCGUAAAGCGCACGCAGGCGGUCUGUCAAGUCGGAUGUGAAAUCCCCGGGCUCAACCUGGGAACUGCAUCCGAAACUGGCAGGCUUGAGUCUUGUAGAGGGGGGUAGAAUUCCAGGUGUAGCGGUGAAAUGCGUAGAGAUCUGGAGGAAUACCGGUGGCGAAGGCGGCCCCCUGGACAAAGACUGACGCUCAGGUGCGAAAGCGUGGGGAGCAAACA